RNAcentral lists this small RNA (76 nucleotides) under Ulvibacter antarcticus. RNAcentral describes it as "Flavo-1 RNA". The record is from RNAcentral. Lineage: Bacteria; Pseudomonadati; Bacteroidota; Flavobacteriia; Flavobacteriales; Flavobacteriaceae.
UCGCAAUAGCGAUUGAGGCGGCAUCCCCACCUACGCGUAGCGCUAUGGUGGGAUAUAGCCGAAAGCGCGACCGUAA